UACGCGCACGUGAGAGCAACUCACCACAUGUUCUCUCUGUCCCAGAAACAACUGGGAAGGACCCCCAAAAGCCAGGGCCCUAAAACACGGACUUUACCUUGCCUUUCAUCCCCGAGGGCCACUGCAGGUCAGCCUGGUUCCGAUGAGGAUAUGAGGAAAAUGGCUGUUCAGCUCCUUCAGCUGAUAAGGUUCCUUGUUUGGAGAGCAAAUAAGAGGAAAAGGUACCUGCUGUAAAUGCUCUGCGGCCCUUGGACAUGCACGGUCCACUGUUGUCUCACAUCAGCUCUCAUAACAGCUCCGGGAAGACCUCCCUCAACCUCACGCCUCGCAUCACCUUUGAGUGAUCACCUGAGUCCCACCUGAAAGUUUUGGAUGAUCACCUGAGUCCCACCUGAGGGAAGUGGGAAAAGCCUGUAGAGGCCCUGAAUGGCUUCAAUAAAGAGAACAAUUGCUUUAGUCACACAAUUAUGAGCUCAGGAUGACUAAAUGCAAAAGGCCCUGAAGGAGCACAGCUAAAGAUCUCUGGCAUCCCAUUCAAUGUGAUCUACCCACCCCCUGCUGCUCAUCACUGGGACCACCAACUGGGAGCAACAUUACUGAAAUGAGCAACAACAGCACAAUGCUGCAACAGCCAUGAGUGAUUCAACUUUAA
Molecule: long non-coding RNA, 652 nt
Organism: Siniperca chuatsi (mandarin fish)
Lineage: Eukaryota; Metazoa; Chordata; Actinopteri; Centrarchiformes; Sinipercidae
Exons: 4
Source: RefSeq, a predicted model, not a curated record